AUGCAAACACAUUACACAAGAAAAACAAUGCAAACAACUAGAAUUAUACAAAAUUUAAAGAUCCUCAGAGCCAUUCCACAAGUGGAAGUUGCAGACAAUCUACAUAGCAUCAGAUUCUGUCCGCCCGUCUGCUUUUCCUCAUCAUUGAACAUUUUCUUCAAAACUCAAAAUCAACGCCAACAGAAAACAAAAACAGGGCAAUGCUUCAGAUAA
RNAcentral lists this long non-coding RNA (213 nucleotides) under Prunus dulcis (almond). RNAcentral describes it as "sRNA ncRNA". The record is from RNAcentral. Lineage: Eukaryota; Viridiplantae; Streptophyta; Magnoliopsida; Rosales; Rosaceae.